This 210-nucleotide long non-coding RNA is filed under the name Lathyrus oleraceus (garden pea). RNAcentral's name for it is "Pisum sativum (pea) long non-coding RNA (PSAT_LNC023634)". Lineage: Eukaryota; Viridiplantae; Streptophyta; Magnoliopsida; Fabales; Fabaceae. The record is from RNAcentral.
AAAACAAGAAAGGGGGUUUGAAUUGUUUUGGAAAUAAAAACUUUUUCAAAAAUCAAAACACACAGAAUUUUAUACUGGUUCGCUUGAAAUUGAAAGCUACUCCAGUUCACCCGGCCAAGGUGAUUUCGCCUUCAAAAAGGACUUAAUCCACUAAUCUUGAAAGAUUACAUAACCAAACGUCUAAGAGAAUAAUCUCUUAGCCCUCUCAAG